CCAAUAAAAACAAAACUAUUUAUUACCGGCCUGUCAUUCUAUACAUCUGAGAAAACCUUACGAGCAGCAUUUGAAGGCUUUGGCGAGCUUGUUGAAAUAAAAAUUAUAAUGGACAAAAUUUCUAAAAGGUC
This is a long non-coding RNA of Juglans microcarpa x Juglans regia, 131 nucleotides long. RefSeq lists it as uncharacterized. The transcript is spliced from 3 exons. Lineage: Eukaryota; Viridiplantae; Streptophyta; Magnoliopsida; Fagales; Juglandaceae. The record is from RefSeq and is a predicted model, not a curated record.